GGGCGUGUAGCUCAGUUGGUAGAGCACUUGACUUUUAAUCAAGUUGUCCCGGGUUCGAGCCCCGGCACGCUCA
RNAcentral lists this transfer RNA (73 nucleotides) under Lachnospiraceae bacterium. RNAcentral's name for it is "tRNA-Lys". It matches the Rfam family "tRNA". Rfam says of the family: Transfer RNA (tRNA) molecules are approximately 80 nucleotides in length. The record is from RNAcentral. Lineage: Bacteria; Bacillati; Bacillota; Clostridia; Lachnospirales; Lachnospiraceae.